AACGCGAAGAACCUUACCCAGACUUGACAUACAGAGGGAUACUCUAGAAAUAGGGUAGUCCGCAAGGACUUCUGUACAGGUGCUGCAUGGCUGUCGUCAGCUCGUGCCGUGAGGUGUUGGGUUAAGUCCCGCAACGAGCGCAACCCUUAUCGCUAGUUGCCAACAGGUAAUGCUGGGAACUCUAGCGAGACUGCCCGGGUUAACCGGGAGGAAGGUGAGGAUGACGUCAAGUCCGCAUGGCCCUUACGUCUGGGGCUACACACGUGCUACAAUGGGAAGAUACAAAGGGUAGCGAAACCGCGAGGUGGAGCCAAUCUCUAAAACUUCCCCCAGUUCAGAUUGUAGUCUGCAACUCGACUACAUGAAGCCGGAAUUGCUAGUAAUGGCGUGUCAGCAACAGCGCCGUGAAUACGUUCCCGGGCCUUGUACACACCGAUAGC
Molecule: ribosomal RNA, 440 nt
Filed under: uncultured bacterium
Lineage: Bacteria
Description: bacterial SSU rRNA
Rfam family: Bacterial small subunit ribosomal RNA
Source: RNAcentral